CUGCAAAAAUAAUGGCAUACUAGCAAAUAUUUGCCUAUGCCAUUAUUCUUUUGUUAAAGCCAAGAUUUUGUUUCUAGACCUAGGUGUAUUAGAUUUCUUUACUGUACACUUAGCAUUCACAUCUCUCUAUUAACAAUUUUUGGCCAAAAAGCAAAUUAAGUUAUCUACACAUUCUUGCACUUGAAGUUUCCUUAUGAAAGAAAAAAUUAUACACCAAAAGCGAGCAGAAGGACUUUUAAGAAAAAGAUAUUUUAAGCCAGUUGGAAAACAAGUGUUCCUUAUGCCUUGAUAUUGAUACUUGAUAUUUUGAAUAGUAGCCGUCUUCUCUAUAUAUAUAAUCAAAAUCGUCAUCUUUUUUUCCCUCAAAGAAUAGGUAAUCUCUACAAAUAAAUUCAUUAGUAACAGAUUACAUCUCAGAAGACUUAGAUUAUUUUUUAUGCCUAUAAAUCAUUUUGCAACAUUCAGGCAACUUGAACACAUCCUAAAACUUCAACAGUCAAGGAAAACUUGUUGUAAUUCAUAUUCCUAUUUUGAAAAUGAUUUUAUGAUGACUGUUGAGCUUAUUAGGUCUACUGUUAUAAUGCUGCAGAGGUAGUUCUGAGGAGCAUGUUUGAACUAAGCAGUGUGAAAAAGAAAAAUCAGUUCAAGUCACAUGGAUUACGAAUUAUACUGAUGCAUAAAAGGGAUCAUAUUUAUAUAACCAUAAGGAAAAUAGCUGUGAAUUCACUAACUUUCCAACAUGUAUGACAUUAGAAAUAAAAAAAAAAAGUUUAACACUACUUGGCAAUGUCAUGUUGAGUCUGAGAAUCUGGACGAUACAAAAAGAAGCAUGUCGCAUGAGAUUUGAGCAUCAAUGUACAUCAACUCAACAUAUAUUUUUGUUGUUGUUAACUUACAGCUACCAGAAUAUUUUUCAGAACAAUGUGUUGGAAGGGAAUAUGAGAACUGGCAUAUUCCAGUAACUUACAGUUAACAGGAUAUUUUUCAGAAUGAUAUUUUGGAAGGGAAUAUGAGAACUGUCAUAUUCCAGGUAACCUGACUUUUUAAGAAUGAUUGGUUUCAUUAUUAAGGAACAUUUGUUUGUCUUUCAGCUCUGUUUGCAGUACCUAAAAAUUACAAACUUGUUGCUGCCCCGUUGUUCGAACUAUAUGAUAAUUCCCAAGGUUAUGGGCCCAUUAUAUCUUCCUUACCACAGGCAUUAUGCAGGUUUAACUUCACUUACAUGUAGAGCUUCAUUGUGAGUAUUUUUUCAUAAUGGAAAGACAGUUGAAGUAAAAAUCUUUUGAUGCACUGCAGAUAUUUUCAUAGACAAAGAUGCAAGUUUUCUCAAACGUACAAUGGUAUUUACAUGAACAUGUGAGAAGUAUGGAUAAUGAAAGUUGCAGUGAAUUUAUUAAGUCAAACCGAAUGUGGUGUGUAAAUGUUUUAAUGAUUAUCUUGUCAUCUUAUCCAGUGUUCAAACAUUUACCUGUGUGACUUUUCACCUUGAUGCUGAAAUUUAUAUAUUUUCAUGAUUAAUUCAAGCCUUAGAUUUUGACCUCAUUUCAAGGAACCAUUUUCAUUUCAUUGUUUUUCUGUGAACAUAGAGUUAUAAGAAUUUCAAUUCUUGUGCUGCUCGAUAUGUUUUUUUGUUGAAAGCUCGGGAUACACCUUGGUUACUUUGUAUACACUUAAUUCUACAUUUAAUUACAAUAAUCCUAUAAGCCUUCCACUGUAUUUACUGGAAAGCAUUUCAGAAUUUCUCACUAUUUUUCCUGUACUGGAAAGCAUUUCAGAAUUUCUCACUAUUUUUCCUGUAUUUGUACUAAAAUACAUACAAAGAACCAGUACUGUAGAUAGCAACAUGAAGUAAGUAACAAGUGUAUGAAUUUGUGUGAUAUUGUACAAGGCAGUGUGAAAAAUGCUAAUGUUCACUUCCCAAACUCAGUGGAUUGUGUGUUUUCAAAGAUUUUGAUAAAUACUUCAGGAGUUCCAGUUCAAAAAUGUAUUUUGUACAUUGUCUCCUAGUAAAUGUAGUUACAUUCAAUAACCUCUUACAUGGUCAGAUUGCUAUGUUGAAUUAUUUUGUGAGUAUUAUUUGUCAUUCCACUUCUUAGUAUAAUGACGUGAAAAUUAAGGUGUAUGAAAGAGAAUUAAAGUUUUUUAGGUGAAAA
Macrobrachium nipponense is the source of this 2153-nucleotide long non-coding RNA. RefSeq lists it as uncharacterized. The record is from RefSeq and is a predicted model, not a curated record. The transcript is spliced from 2 exons. Lineage: Eukaryota; Metazoa; Arthropoda; Malacostraca; Decapoda; Palaemonidae.